UGGGGAAUAUUGGACAAUGGGCGCAAGCCUGAUCCAGCAACGCCGCGUGGAGGACGAAGGUCUUCGGAUCGUAAACUCCUGCCAGGUGGGGCGAAGGCUGCGGGAUGAAUAAUCCUGUAGCUUGACGGUACCACCAGAGGAAGCGCCGGCUAACUACGUGCCAGCAGCCGCGGUAAUACGUAGGGCGCAAGCGUUGUCCGGAAUUAUUGGGCGUAAAGAGCUCGUAGGCGGUCUGUUACGUCGGAAGUGAAAACCCGAGGCUUAACCCCGGGCUUGCUUUCGAUACGGGUAGACUAGAGUGUGGUAGGGGAGACUGGAAUUCCUGGUGUAGCGGUGAAAUGCGCAGAUAUCAGGAGGAACACCGGUGGCGAAGGCGGGUCUCUGGGCCACUACUGACGCUGAGGAGCGAAAGCGUGGGGAGCGAA
RNAcentral lists this ribosomal RNA (425 nucleotides) under uncultured bacterium. Its description in RNAcentral is "bacterial SSU rRNA". It matches the Rfam family "Bacterial small subunit ribosomal RNA", at positions 355 to 772 of the family's 1533-position model. The record is from RNAcentral.